This 253-nucleotide ribosomal RNA is filed under the name uncultured bacterium. RNAcentral describes it as "partial 16S ribosomal RNA". It matches the Rfam family "Bacterial small subunit ribosomal RNA", at positions 524 to 776 of the family's 1533-position model. The record is from RNAcentral.
UACGUAGGGGGCAAGCGUUGUCCGGAAUCAUUGGGCGUAAAGAGCGUGUAGGUGGCUAGGUAAGUCCGCUGUGAAAGUCCAGGGCUCAACCCUGGAAAGCCGGUGGAAACUGUCGAGCUCGAGUCCGGAAGAGGCGAGUGGAAUUCCUGGUGUAGCGGUGAAAUGCGCAGAUAUCAGGAGGAACACCAAUGGCAAAGGCAGCUCGCUGGGACGGUACUGACACUGAGACGCGAAAGCGUGGGGAGCAAACAGG